This is a long non-coding RNA of Sycon ciliatum, 634 nucleotides long. RefSeq lists it as uncharacterized. NCBI's taxonomy places the organism in Eukaryota, Metazoa, Porifera, Calcarea, Leucosolenida, Sycettidae. The transcript has 7 exons. The record is from RefSeq and is a predicted model, not a curated record.
GAGUUGUCUUCCUUUCUUGUUCUUUGGAGGAGACGGUGGAAGGAGUUUCUGCGUCUCAGCUUGUUUGAUCUGUUGAACACGUCGUUCUGGGCAGAAUUAUGUCGCGCCGCCUGUGCAAUGUGGUAAAUCACCACCUUCUUCUGCCUGGAUGAAACCCGCACCUUCAACUAAAAUGUUUUGAUCUGAUUUACGAAACAUGAUGUGGACGUGGCACUCCGACCUGCCGAAGAAAGUUGCCACUGUGUCUGGAAUCUUGUCCGCCUUACUUUUUCAAGAUGAUGGCGAUGAAUCGUACCGGAAUUUGACCGAUACCGGAGUUUAGAUUAUGUCCAGCGGAAUUCGAGAUAUAUGCUGCGCUGUAUCUACUUCGAUACUAACGUUCUGAGCUCAACGUUUGCUGUUCACAUAUCCAGAAACUUUCAUAGGUGACUGCUCUCUCUUGGAUAAUUUAGUUAUGCAAGCAGCGCCUACCUGCCUUUGCAAACAAGAUGACUGCUAUCUCCGGGAUGAUUGGCUUCUACAAUAACGCCUCCCUGCUGCAUACAUGAUGUCAAGUCGCUACUGCACUUUGCUCCCUUGGCUGUCAUUGCUUUUCCUCUUUUACAAUAAACUAGAUCCAAAUUGGAUAUACUGC